This 1372-nucleotide ribosomal RNA is filed under the name uncultured bacterium. RNAcentral's name for it is "bacterial SSU rRNA". It matches the Rfam family "Bacterial small subunit ribosomal RNA", at positions 28 to 1381 of the family's 1533-position model. The record is from RNAcentral.
GAUGAACGCUGGCGGCGUGCCUAAUACAUGCAAGUCGAGCGAACGGACGAGAAGCUUGCUUCUCUGAUGUUAGCGGCGGACGGGUGAGUAACACGUGGAUAACCUACCUAUAAGACUGGGAUAACUUCGGGAAACCGGAGCUAAUACCGGAUAAUAUUUUGAACCGCAUGGUUCAAAAGUGAAAGACGGUCUUGCUGUCACUUAUAGAUGGAUCCGCGCUGCAUUAGCUAGUUGGUAAGGUAACGGCUUACCAAGGCAACGAUGCAUAGCCGACCUGAGAGGGUGAUCGGCCACACUGGAACUGAGACACGGUCCAGACUCCUACGGGAGGCAGCAGUAGGGAAUCUUCCGCAAUGGGCGAAAGCCUGACGGAGCAACGCCGCGUGAGUGAUGAAAGUCUUCGGAUCGUAAAACUCUGUUAUUAGGGAAGAACAUAUGUGUAAGUAACUGUGCACAUCUUGACGGUACCUAAUCAGAAAGCCACGGCUAACUACGUGCCAGCAGCCGCGGUAAUACGUAGGUGGCAAGCGUUAUCCGGAAAUUAUUGGGCGUAAAGCGCGCGUAGGCGGUUUUUUAGUCUGAUGUGAAAGCCCACGGCUCAACCGUGGAGGGUCAUUGGAAACUGGAAAACUUGAGUGCAGAAGAGGAAAGUGGAAUUCCAUGUGUAGCGGUGAAAUGCGCAGAGAUAUGGAGGAACACCAGUGGCGAAGGCGACUUUCUGGUCUGUAACUGACGCUGAUGUGCGAAAGCGUGGGGAUCAAACAGGAUUAGAUACCCUGGUAGUCCACGCCGUAAACGAUGAGUGCUAAGUGUUAGGGGGUUUCCGCCCCUUAGUGCUGUAGCUAACGCAUUAAGCACUCCGCCUGGGGAGUACGACCGCAAGGUUGAAACUCAAAGGAAUUGACGGGGACCCGCACAAGCGGUGGAGCAUGUGGUUUAAUUCGAAGCAACGCGAAGAACCUUACCAAAUCUUGACAUCCUUUGACAACUCUAGAGAUAGAGCCUUCCCCUUCGGGGGACAAAGUGACAGGUGGUGCAUGGUUGUCGUCAGCUCGUGUCGUGAGAUGUUGGGUUAAGUCCCGCAACGAGCGCAACCCUUAAGCUUAGUUGCCAUCAUUAAGUUGGGCACUCUAAGUUGACUGCCGGUGACAAACCGGAGGAAGGUGGGGAUGACGUCAAAUCAUCAUGCCCCUUAUGAUUUGGGCUACACACGUGCUACAAUGGACAAUACAAAGGGCAGCGAAACCGCGAGGUCAAGCAAAUCCCAUAAAGUUGUUCUCAGUUCGGAUUGUAGUCUGCAGCUCGACUACAUGAAGCUGGAAUCGCUAGUAAUCGUAGAUCAGCAUGCUACGGUGAAUACGUUCCCGGGUCU